RNAcentral lists this ribosomal RNA (448 nucleotides) under uncultured bacterium. RNAcentral describes it as "SSU rRNA". It matches the Rfam family "Bacterial small subunit ribosomal RNA", at positions 26 to 518 of the family's 1533-position model. The record is from RNAcentral.
AGAGCGAACGCUGGCGGCAGGCUUAACACAUGCAAGUCGAGCGCGUGUAGCAAUACACGAGCGGCAGACGGGAGAGUAACACGUGGGAACGCGCCCUUCGGUUCGGAAUAACUCAGGGAAACUUGAGCUAAUACCGGAUACGCCCUUACGGGGAAAGAUUUAUUGCCGAAGGAACGGCCCGCGUCGGAUUAGCUAGUUGGUGAGGUAACGGCUCACCAAGGCGACGAUCCAUAGCUGGUCUGAGAGGAUGACCAGCCUCACUGGGACUGAGACACGGCCCAGACUCCUACGGGAGGCAGCAGUGGGGAAUAUUGGACAAUGGGCGCAAGCCUGAUCCAGCCAUGCCGCGUGGAUGAUGAAGGCCCUAGGGUUGUAAGUCCUUUUAACGGGGAAGAUAAUGACGGUACCGUAGAAUAAGCCCCGGCUAACGUUCGUGCCGAGCAGCCGC